UCUCUCUUUCGCGGGAUGUCAUUGCGAUGAGAGGCACUGCUAGACCUGAUAUUCUCCUGUUACUACCUGAUGGUGUCUGUUAUACUUUGAUACAGGUAUGUAAAUGGAUCAUUAUAGUACUGGUUUCUUUUCCUGUGUUUUUCUCUCGUAUAUUAUUGUAUUUGUUUUUAUAAUUGUUAUUGUACGUUAUAAUGGUCUCUCUUUCGCGGGAUGUCAUUGCGAUGAGAGGCACUGCUAGACCUGAUAUUCUCCUGUUACUACCUGAUGGUGUCUGUUAUACUUUGAUACAGAAACUUCAGAAGCCGAAAGUAAACCACGUGACAACCGCA
This is a long non-coding RNA of Cyprinus carpio (common carp), 329 nucleotides long. RefSeq lists it as uncharacterized. NCBI's taxonomy places the organism in Eukaryota, Metazoa, Chordata, Actinopteri, Cypriniformes, Cyprinidae. The transcript has 2 exons. The record is from RefSeq and is a predicted model, not a curated record.